AUGAAGGAAGCGUUUGGCUUUAUUGAAAGAGAUGAUGUUGUAAAAGAGAUAUUCUUUCACUAUAGUGAAUUUAAGGGUGACCUAGAAACCUUACAGCCUGGAGAUGACGUGGAAUUCACAAUCAAGGACAAAAAUGGUAAAGAAGUUGCAACAGAUGUCAGACUAUUGCCUCAAGGAACAGUCAUUUUUAAAGAUAUCAGCAUGAACAUUCUGAAGGAACUGUAACCAAAGUUAUCCCAAAAGUACCCAGUAAAAACCAGAAUGACCCAUUGCCAGGACGCAUCAAAGUUGACUUUGUGAUUCCUAAAGCACUUCCCUUUGGAGACAAAGAUACAAAAUCUAAGGUGACCCUGCUGGAAGGUGACCAUGCUAGGUUUAAUAUUUCGACAGACCGAUGUGACAAAUUAGAACGAGCAACCAAUAUAGAAGUCCUAUCAAAAACAUUUCAGUUCACUAAUGAAGCCAGAGAAAUGGGUGUGAUUGCCGCCAUGAGAGAUGGUUUUGGUUUCAUCAAGUGUGUGGAUCAUGAUGCUCGUAUGUUCUUCCACUUCAGUGAAAUUCUAGAUGGGAACCAGCUCCAUAUUGCAGAUGAAAGGGAGUUUACUCUGGUUCCUGAUAUGCUCUCUGCCCAAAGAAAUCAUGCUAUUAGGAUUAAAAAACUUCCCAAGGGCAUGGUUUCAUUCCAUUCCCAUUCAGAUCAUCGUUUUCUGGGCAGUGUAGAAAAAGAAGGCACUUUCUCCAAUCCUAAAACCACUAGCCCAAAUAAAGGCAAAGAGAAGGAGGCUGAGGAUGGCAUUAUUACUUAUGAUGAUUGUGGGGUGAAACUGACUAUCGCUUUUCAAGCCAAGGAUAUGGAAGGACCUACUUCUCAGAUAGGAGAUAAGGUUGAAUUUAGUAUUAGUGACAAACAGAGGCCUGGACAGCAAAUUGCAACUUGUGUAUGACUUUUAGGUCAUAAUUCCAACUCCAAGAGGCUCUAAAAAUUUUGGAUUUAUUGAAACAAGCCAAUCAUGAUAAGGAAAUCUUUUUCCAUUACAGUGAGUUCUCUGGUGAUGUUGAUAGCCUGGAACUAGGGGACAUGGUCGAGUACAGCUUGUCCAAAGGCAAAGGCAAUAAAGUCAGUGCAGAAAAAGUGAACAAAACACAUUCAGUGAAUGGUAUUACUGAGGAAGCUGAUCCCACCAUCUACUCUAGCAAAAUCAUUCGUUCCCUGAGGAGUGUUGAUCCAACAUAGACAGAGUACCAAGGAAUGACUGAGAUGUGGAGGAGGGGGAUAUGAAAGGUGAGGUCUAUCCAUUUGGCAUAGUUGGGAUGGCCAACGAAGGGGAUUGCCUACAGAAAGGGGAGAGUGUCAAGUUCCAGUUGUGUGUACUGGGCCAAAAGGUAUAGACUAUGGCCUACAACACCACACCCCUAUGUAGGACCACAGUGGAGUGUGUGAAAGAUCAGUUUGGCUUCAUUAACUAUGAAGUAGGAGAUAGGAAGAAGCUCUUUUUCCAUGUGAAAGAAGUUCAGGAUGGCAUUGAGCUACAGGCAGGAGAUGAGGUGGAGUUCUCAGUGAUUCUUAAUCAGCGUGGCAAGUGCAGCCCCUGUAAUGUUUGGUGAGUCUGUGAAGGCCCCAAAGCUGUUGUAGCUCCUAGACCUGAUAGGUUGGUCAAUCGCUGAAGAACAUUACCCUGGAUGAUGCCAUUGCUCCUCACCUAAUGGUUCUUCGUCAGCCAGAACCAGAUAAUUCAAUGGGAUUUGGUGUAGAAAGAAAGAUCUGUCAAGCUGGUGUCAUUGACUAACCAUAUCCACAAAGCACAUCAUUAAUCCACUAUGAUCAAGUUGGGGGGAUUCUGGUGAAGGGUUCUGAAUAUCUCCCUCUU
Molecule: RNA transcript, 1868 nt
Organism: Otolemur garnettii (small-eared galago)
Lineage: Eukaryota; Metazoa; Chordata; Mammalia; Primates; Galagidae
Gene name: cold shock domain-containing protein E1 pseudogene
Exons: 1
Source: RefSeq, a predicted model, not a curated record